Long non-coding RNA from Protopterus annectens (West African lungfish), 358 nucleotides. RefSeq lists it as uncharacterized. The transcript has 4 exons. The record is from RefSeq and is a predicted model, not a curated record. Lineage: Eukaryota; Metazoa; Chordata; Ceratodontiformes; Protopteridae.
CAGAUGGCGGCUUAGGAUUGCUGCUCUGUUAAAGGUGCGGUUCCGUUGUAUCCAAUUUCCAAAUAAAAUUCAACAAAAAUCAGAAAGUAAACUCAUUUUUUUACACCGGACAGCAGCAAACUGUACCGAAAUAUAUAGAGACGGAAGAACAUGGUGAGCUAAUGUCCUCUGAAGAAUCUUGGAACUGUGUAUGCCAAAGGUUCGCAGUUCCUGUUACAUCAUGUGGUUGGCAGAUGAUGUAAAAGUCAGAGGGCUUAGAGGGUUUUUCCAUUAUAUUGAAAACUUUAAGCACUCUUGUUUGGAUACAGAGUUGAACCAGCGGUCUUAAAGGGGAGUAGGAUAUUCAGUGUACUGGUAA